GAGUGGUUUCCCCCAUGCUGUUCUCGUGACAGGGAGUGAGUUCUCACGAGAUCUGAUGGUUUCAUAAGGGGCUCUUCCCCCUUCAUUCGGCCCUUCUUCCUCCCACCUUGUGAAGAAGGUGCCUUGCUUCCCCCUCACCUUCUGCCGUGAUUGUAAAUUUCCAGAGGCCUCCCCAGCCAUGCUGCACGGUUCUAUGGAACCCUGGAAUGAAGAGGAUGCCAACCUUGAAAAGCUAUUCUAGUUCUUUCAAUGUGCCAUAAUGGUAUAGGAGCAAAUGUUUCUGCUGAGGUGAGGACACCAUGUUCCUCUACUGUUGUGGAUGCAGCCCUCACCAGACGACCGAACCUGCCAGUGCCUUGUUCUUGGACUUCCUAGCCUUCAGAACUGCCAGAAUCCUGCUAGGACAUCUCUGCCUGUGGAAGGAGGGCUGGAUGGCAUACUGGGAAUGGCUUUCUAGGAUGACUUCCUGUUGCUACAGACUACAAGAAGCAUUUCUGGCCUUGAUGUUGUCUGAAUGAAGAAGACAUAGGAGUUUCACCAAAGUAAUGAAAGCUGGCUGAGCAAAAACCCAGAGCAUAAUUUCUCACUGGCUGGCUGCUCCAGAUAGUAAUAGCUUCAGUGCCCUUCAGAGUGGAAUUUUCCUGAGCCUGUGAAGAUGUGUGAGGUGUACCCAGCAGGUAGGAUCCUGAUUGUUACACGAACUGUCCACCUCCAUCCAGAGCCGUGUGGCUUGUAGUGCCUUCUCGUGGCAGGUAUAUUUUCCUGCCUGUUCACGUGACUUGUGUUGGCCAGUGGAAUAUAGUUUGAUCUGCAGUAGUUUGAAUCUGAGGAUGCUGAACCUGUGGAUAAGGAGAGCCUACUUUUCUUGGACAAAUGCCCUGUGUCAGAAGAGUGUGGUAAACAGAAGCUCAGCUCCUUCAAGGAUGACAGCCUUGGUUACACCACCAGUUUCUCUAGGAAAAGAGACCAAAGUCAGGGAGCAGUCGUUUUCACAUGGGAUGAACUCAGUGUAAGAGGCAAGCAGAUUGUGGAAGAUUAGAAGAUAAUGGAUACUAUUAUUCCAUCCAGAUUCCUCUUCAGGACCAAGGACUCAUUUUCCAGCUGGCAGGAAUGUUAGCUACUGACGGCCAUGGCUGAGUUCCUCUUCAGGAAUUAUCCUCCACUUGAGGGGAAUUGCUUUGUUCAGUGUUACACUCCCUCUAUAGUGGCAGCCCACACUGGUUGAUGUGGGGUACAAAGUCCUGGACCUUGUCUUAGAUGGGAUAGUUCUGAAGGGCUAUUCCAGCUCCAGAACUCCUCAUAGGAUUGGCUGAGGUCUCCUCUGCAACUGGAUCACAGUUCAACUUUUUCUUCUGCCCAGUCCUUCUUCUCUCAUCUGUUGCCAGUUUUAUUCGUGUGAGCAUUCGGAUCACCAACGCUGUGACCUCGCUGUGUGAACGGGAGCUACUACAGGAAGGAAGCUUACAAAUGAGCUGCAUGGAUCCCACAUUUUGCUAAAAUCAAAUAGGACCUUUCUCCUCUUUGUUGAAUGCCGUAAUACACAAGAAAUAAGCCAGCAGGAUGCUCAUGUCCAAGGUUUCCCUUUAUCUACCACACGAGUUGGCAUGAAACAACUUCUGGGGUUCAAAUCUUCUGAACAAUGAUACAAGUCUUGGCAAAUUUCAAGAAUAAUUUAAAGAGGAAAUAAAUAGCUUUUUGUUUAACUUGGAUCAAUUAUCUCCUAUUGCUCCCAGCUUCAUGCCAGGUACUCUCCACUGUGCCUGGGAAAUAUGAAUCCCUGCCCUCAUGAAAAAACAUUGGCCAUGAGGAUUUUCCCUACAACCCAAGAACUAUUUGAAGUUUGAAGUCUUUCAGCCCAGACAACACUGGCUAUUUUCACCUUUGCCUUCAACUAUAAAGGCUGGGCUCUCUCUGCAGGAGUGGGUUACUGCUGGCAGAACAGAGAAAGAGAGAGAGCAGGAGAGAGAGAGACAGACAGAAUCCACUAGUAGAAUAAGCCAUGAUCACCACUCAAAACUUUUGCUACUACUUGAUCAGUACCUGGAAUUCUGAGGAAAACCCUAUUAGAGAUUGCAAAUCCAGUAAAUAAAGGCAGCAGUGGUACCUUGUUAAAAACAUCAAAUCCAAAGUGCUCUGAGGAGGAAUAUGUACGGUGUGUUCUAGGGACAGAAAAUAAGACAAACGUGGCUGGAGUAUUGGAAGGGGAAGUGAGUGUUACUAGAGAAGGUCAUGAGGUGAGGCGGGCCAGAUCAUAUGGGUCUGUGUAAGCUAUGGCAAGGAGUGUGGAUUUUAUUCCAAGUAAGAUGGAAAGCCUUUAUGAAGUUUUAAAAACGGCAGUGUUAUGAUUUGUAACAUCUGAGUUUAUGUUUACAUCGUGGCCAAAUUAUUUUAUAAAAUAAUGUAAUAAUGGUUCAACAGUUUGAUUGUGUUGCCCUUAAAAUUUCACAAGACUUAAAAUUUUCUACACUAUUCAUUUCAGUAUUGACUGUAAUUUAAUAACUCAAUUAGUAAUGUUAAAUAAAUUAUUUGUUACUACCUAUUGAAAUUAUAUAUAUAUAUACACACAC
RNAcentral lists this long non-coding RNA (2567 nucleotides) under Homo sapiens (human). RNAcentral describes it as "HSALNT0047555". The record is from RNAcentral. Lineage: Eukaryota; Metazoa; Chordata; Mammalia; Primates; Hominidae.